Molecule: ribosomal RNA, 404 nt
Filed under: uncultured bacterium
Lineage: Bacteria
Description: bacterial SSU rRNA
Rfam family: Bacterial small subunit ribosomal RNA
Source: RNAcentral
UAGGGAAUAUUAGUAAUGGGCGAAAGCCUGAACUAGCAACGCCGCGUGUGCGAAGAAGGCCUUCGGGUUGUAAAGCACUCUUUGAGAGGAUGAGGAAGGACGGUACUCUCAGAAUAAGUCUCGGCUAACUACGUGCCAGCAGCCGCGGUAACACGUAGGAGGCGAACGUUAUCCGGAUUUACUGGGCGUAAAGCGCGUGUAGGUGGUUUGGUAAGUAGGGCGUGAAAGCUCCUGGCUCAACUGGGAGAGGCCGUUCUAAACUGCCGAACUAGAGGAUGGUAGAGGGAGGUGGAAUUCCGGGUGUAGCGGUGGAAUGCGCAGAUAUCCGGAGGAACACCAGUGGCGAAAGCGGCCUCCUGGACCAUUCCUGACACUCAGACGCGAAAGCUAGGGCAGCAAACGGG